UGAAAGACUUACAUCUCUUCGGAGCAUUUUACGUAGGUGCUGCAUGGUUGUCGUCAGCUCGUGCCGUGAGGUGCGGGUUAAGUCCCAUAACGAGCGCAACCCUACCUUUAGUUGCCAUCAGGUAAUGCUGGGGACUCUAAAGGAACUGCCUACGCAAGUAGUGAGGAAGCGGGGAUGACGUCAAAUCAGCACGGCCCUUACGUCCAGGGCUACACACGUGCUACAAUGGCCGAUACAGAGGGCAGCUACCUGGUGACAGGAUGCAAAUCUCCAAAGUCGGUCUCAGUUCGGAUCGGAGUCUGCAACCCGACUCCGUGAAGUUGGAUUCGCUAGUAAUCGCGCAUCAGCCAUGGCGCGGUGAAUACGUUCCCGGGCCUU
This 378-nucleotide ribosomal RNA is filed under the name uncultured Sphingobacteriales bacterium. Its description in RNAcentral is "bacterial SSU rRNA". It matches the Rfam family "Bacterial small subunit ribosomal RNA", at positions 1002 to 1382 of the family's 1533-position model. The record is from RNAcentral. Lineage: Bacteria; Pseudomonadati; Bacteroidota; Sphingobacteriia; Sphingobacteriales.